This 1263-nucleotide long non-coding RNA is filed under the name Numida meleagris (helmeted guineafowl). RNAcentral describes it as "lncRNA (ENSNMEG00000021584.1)". The record is from RNAcentral. Lineage: Eukaryota; Metazoa; Chordata; Aves; Galliformes; Numididae.
AGCACUAUAGUUUUUGUAUAUUUUUUUUCUGUUUGGUAAAUUUCAAAUAUAAUAUUCUGCUUUUUUUAGAAUGGUGGCAGUUUUUUGGAAUGGAAGAAUUUCAUACAGAAAAAAAAAUGGUACUCUCAAAGGUUCCAAAACUCAAGGAGCAUAGGCAUUUUGGAAAGGAAUACAGGCUUGACAGCUGUGGGGUAAGCAUCUACAAGAAGGUAAGAUUAGAUCAAUACAAGCAUGGCCUCUUGCUAACUUGGAUCUUAAAGUAAGAGGAGGGUGGAACUCCAGGAAGGGAAGGAAAGUCUAGGAGGUGCCUGAAAGCAACUGUAACUCACUGACAGAAUGAGGUGAGGUCGUCCUACAACACUGCAGUCAGAGAAAAGCAGAGACUUUUUAUUCAUUGAGUGCAUGGAAACAUCUGAGGCAAAGGAAAAGCUGUUUCAAAUGGGCAUUAGCAUGCCUGUUGGCACUCUCAGGCUGAUAUCAAGGGCGCCCUUGAGCUCAGAGCCAAGUGGAGGUAUACCCCUGGAGAACCCAAGGUGACAAAGUGCAGGUGGAAAUGCUGUUCAAAUGUAUAUUUAAUGGACAUGGGGAUAAGCUGUGUUUCAGUUAGUGAAAGUAAAAAAAAAAACCACAAAAAAAACCCCUAACAAUAUCUCAUGGUCGAUAGCACUAACGGGAAGCAGAACUUUGUAGCCAAUAGAAUUGCUCAAAACCCAACAAAUUCAACUGUAGAAAUGAAAGAAUGAGGAGGAAUUCUUUACCCACUGCCUAGUGUGUCAUGUAUGUUAUCCUUUGUGCCUGAAACAUGGGGGAGGUAAGGCCAUUAAAAUCUUCACCUGCAGCAUACAUCUCAAGUUGUGUGGGUUUUUAAAUUAUUUUUUAAUCUUUCUGUCUGUCUGUCUAUCUUAUUUUCCUCUCUAGGUCUUUAUUGUGAUUUUUGUUGUGUCUAAAUGAGAGUUAUCCAAAUAAGUGCUGAAGUAAGAAUUACUCUUUUGCCGUUUUUUGGCUAUAAUCACCUUUUUAUCAGUAACUGAAUGCUACAGGGAAAGUACUUCUAACUUUCAUUGCCAUCAAGUACAUUUUAAAUACUAACCGUAGUUGCUUUAGCAAUACGUAUUUGGUUAUUAUGAAGAGCCCUUCAUGCAAUUGCAGAAAUUUACAAGUAUGAUAAGCCAGUUCUUGCUUCCACGUAGGAGUUGAGAAUUUUGAGUUCAUGGUUUGCUCUUUCCCAUUCCCAUCCAGCCAUCAUGUAAAGUCUUCCCACUC